This 206-nucleotide ribosomal RNA is filed under the name uncultured bacterium. Its description in RNAcentral is "partial 16S ribosomal RNA". It matches the Rfam family "Bacterial small subunit ribosomal RNA", at positions 568 to 774 of the family's 1533-position model. The record is from RNAcentral.
AGCGUAGACGGUAUGGCAAGUCUGAUGUGAAAGGCCAGGGCUCAACCCUGGGACUGCAUUGGAAACUGUCGAACUAGAGUGUCGGAGAGGCAAGUGGAAUUCCUAGUGUAGCGGUGAAAUGCGUAGAUAUUAGGAGGAACACCAGUGGCGAAGGCGGCUUGCUGGACGAUGACUGACGUUGAGGCUGAAAGCGUGGGGAGCAAACA